This 3843-nucleotide long non-coding RNA is filed under the name Equus caballus (horse). RNAcentral describes it as "lncRNA (ENSECAG00000059542.1)". Lineage: Eukaryota; Metazoa; Chordata; Mammalia; Perissodactyla; Equidae. The record is from RNAcentral.
GCUGAAACCAUUAGGGCAAGGACUCCAGGAGGAAAAGAUUCCACAGGAACAGCAUUGCCAAUGUGUUGAAUACUGUCAAGAGUCCGUGGAGACUAAACACAGAGAAAUUCCUGUUGGCGUUGGCAACUCUGCAGUAGUUGGGACCUUGAAAAGAAUAGAGUCGAUGGAAUGGGGAGAAAGUCAAAUAUGUGUAGUUUGUUGGAUGGAUUGGAGAGACGGAUUGGAGCAACUAAUAAAGCAACUAAAUAAAGAACGUUUGCUGGGAAGAGGAGUAGAAAAAUAGGACAGUAACUAGAGGAAAUGAGGGGUUAGCGAGAGAUUUCAAAAUGGAAAUAGUAGAGACUGUCUGCAUGAUGAUGGAGUUGUUCUGGUACAGAGGAAGAGACUGAUGACGGACAGAUGAAGAGACUGAGGAGCUCACCUGUGACCACCCAGCUCACCUGUGACCAGCCAGCUCGAGACAACAGACCAGCCACCAUGCUGUGUCCACCGAGUGAGCAGACCUACCUGCUGUGUCCAUCAAUCACUGUGCCGACAGAGCAGUCUAGCGACUAUUGUAAAAGGGACAUUUCAAUCACAUAUGAAACAUCCUCUUUGUGGGUAUAUAACCUCUCCGUACACCCCACUUCUUUGGUGCUCUUCCCUCCUUGGGGAAGAAAGGCCCUGGACUACAUGGUCCUCACAUUUUAGCUCAGAAAAAACUCACCCAAAUUUUCAUAUAUAGAUUGGUUAUGGAUUAUCUGCAUCAACAUUUCUUGGCAUAGUUGCAACAGGAUUUCAGAGAAACCUACCAGAGACUACCUGGAAUCUACAAUGAACUGGCAUUCAGUACCAGUAGGGGCCCAUUGAACACCCCAGAUCACUGCAUUCUUCAGGUGGCCCUGAUGGGUCUUACUUAAAUGAUAAGCAAGGAUGUUAUCAAGCUGGAGAUGCUGUCCAACCUCAAGAAUGCCCGCUACUUUCUAUUAACUCUGCUAACCCAGUGAAAAGAUUUCCUUCUAUAGGCUCAAGAAAUCACUACAGAAUAAAAAUAUCUAUAUAUAAAGGUGGCAAAAAAAGAGGAAAACAAUACCUUUGGAAACCUUCUCCCACAGUGACUGAGAUAGCUUAUACUUGUUAUGCUGUAUGAUCAAAAAUAAUCUAGAGAAACUAUUUCAUGAGUCACAAGACCACUUUCCCCUCCCUAAGGGACCCUUUGAGGUAUGACAAUUGGACUUCGUCCAAACGCCACCAUCUCAAGGAUAAAUAUAUCUUGUAAUGAUCCAUAUGUUCUCACAUUGUUUUGAGGCCUUUACUUGCAGAAGAGCAAUGGCUUUAGGUAAUUAUUAUUGAAAAAGAUAAUUUCUGCUUGAGGAAUUCCUACCGAGUUACACAGUGACCGGGGAACUCAUUUCGCCAGACGACUAAUUAAAUCUAUCUGUAAUAUUUGGCCAAUAACGCAGCAUUUCCACUGCGCUUACCAUCUUCUCUCCUCAGGAUUGGCGGAGGGAACUAAUGACACAGCCAAAACUUAAUUGACAAAGCUUUCAGAAGCAUUUACUCUCUCACGGCCAAAAACUCUUGCGCUAGUGCUCCUUAAUCUUAGAUCUACACUUUUUAUAAACAUCAGCUGUUUCCUUUUGAAAUAAUAAUAAAACAGCCUAUGCAAUUAGAUGAAGAAACAUAUGAACCAACUUUGCUUAAGGGAUAUAUUACAUUGUUGUCAGGGUCUUAUUGAGGUGGUUAAAAGAAAUGAAAGAUUCGUAGCUGAUUCUUUCACAGAGAACUCCCAGAAUUUAAGGAUCAUGGACUGUAAUCUGGAGAAUUUCUUUAUUGAGAGAGACAUCAAAUAAAAGACUUUUUGCAGCCUUGUUGGAAAGGACCACACCAGGAUGAGAAGAAAACAGCAUCUGUUGUAGACAGCUGUCCCAAGACUCUGGACCAGACCUGUAUCCCUGACUAUAUAUCUGCUCAUUUAAACCUUUGUUAUGCUUAAACUAUAUACCUAUGUUAUAAUUUGUUUGGAAUACUAUCAUACUUAAAGAAAGUGAUUGAUUUUGAACAGACUGGUCUUGAAGGCCAGGCAUUUAUCAAGUGGCUCCUAAUGGAACUCAGUGGUUAUAUGGAACAAACCUCUGGCCUUGGCUACUGUCUGGAUGGCUAAGACACUGCACCCUGAGUUUCCUUUAAAAGCAGAGAAGGAGUCAGGCUGAGUUAAAACCUGUUGCCCAUCUCCCUCUCUUUAAGGACAGAUGGGCUCAUUCAGCGUCCACUGGUAUGGCCACCAAGUGGCUAUGUUUGCUCCUUCUUUGGGGCUAAAAGAUGUAAUUACCACAUGAAAGCCCUGACUAAAUUUACUCAACAAGCAGGAAUAACCUUAUUAAAUACUGAAAUGUCUUUAAUGAGAAGGGCUGUCCUUCAAAACGGAAUGGCUUUAGAUGUUCUUACUGCAUCCCAAGGUGGUACAUAGACAAUCUUUCAGACUGAAUGCUGUGCUUUUAUGCGUGAUGAAUCUUCCAAUGUGUCAUCUCUGCUAAAGCACAUGAAGAAGCAGGAAGAUGCCUUAAGCCAUCCUAUACCCAGUGUCACUUGUUUGUUUGGCUCCCUUCCAGUAUCGGUUUCCUUUAUUCAAACUGGAUUGCAGUUCCUAUUUCUAUUACUUCCUGGAAUUCUUGUACUAGUCAUAAUAUUCAAACUAAUUGUUGUUUUCUUUACUCAGUGUUGUAAGAAUAGCAUACAAAAUAGAGUAAUGAUUGCUUGACGGCUUGAGAUGGUUGAUCUGUCUUAUAACCCUGGAUUUCCUUUUCUGAUAAGGACUAUGCCUUAGAACUCAUUUUAAACUAAUGUUUUCAAAUAUGUUGAAAUAUUAUUAUUGUUACUGUACUUGUUCUAUGAUCAUAUGCAAUGUAAACGUGAAGAGUCAUAGAAAAGCACGUAUACAAUGUUUGUGCAACAAUCUAAAAUUAAUUGACAAUUACAUAACGUAUGAAAUUUUUCCUCUGUUAAUAUAUAUACUUCUAUGCUUGUCCACUAUAUCCCCCCAAUGUGGACGACUACGCAAAUAAAUGAGAUAAAAGCCCAGCACCGAGGGACAUGAUGGACCCAGGGUGGGCAGAAACCACCCUGGCACCGAGGGACAAUGUUUUGAUCAUCAAUGCUUUCUAUCGAAAGAUCAUAGAUCAAAAAGGGAAAAUGACAAAUAGAAAUGGCAAGCAGUAGGAUAUAUUGGAGUAGAUGAGGAAGCCAUUUGGUGUAAACCUAAUUCAGCCUGACUUUGUUUUGUCCAAAAGGGCCUGACAUGGCCAUUGAGCAUGCAUUGUAUAUCAGUCUCAAGCAAGAUAAAGGUUUCAUUUUCCCCCACACUGGGAUUUCCUUAAGGAUAAGCAUCUCUCCGUAGGCUAGGAACUGAUUGCUGUGCUCACCUGUGACCACCCAGCUCGAGACAGCAGACCUGCCACCCUGCUUCGUCCGUCCAUCCCUGUGCCGACAGAGCAGUCUCGUAACUACUGUAAAAGGGACAUUUCAGUCAUAAGUGAUACGUGCUCUUUGAGGGUAUAUAACCACUCUGUGCAUCCCACUUCUUUGUGCUCUCCAUUCCUUGGGGAAGGAAGGCCCUGGCCUAGGCUAGUCCUCAGAUCUGGCUGAUAACAAACUCACCCCAAUUUUCAUUUAUAGACUGGUAAUGGAUUAUGUGCAUCGAUAACCCUAUAAAAUGCCAAAUUGCUUCAGCUUUAUAUGUUGUAUCUGCACAUUUUUGCCUGGAAUAUUAUACAGGCUGUGAUUUCAGUAUACGUAUGUAUGUGUAUGUUUGUACACAAGAAAACAAAGUGUUUUUUUCAUGAAUAAUAAAUCAGUAGAGAAUGC